AGUCGAACGGAAAGGCCCUGCUUUUGUGGGGUGCUCGAGUGGCGAACGGGUGAGUAACACGUGAGUAACCUGCCCUUGACUUUGGGAUAACUUCAGGAAACUGGGGCUAAUACCGGAUAGGAGCUCCUGCUGCAUGGUGGGGGUUGGAAAGUUUCGGCGGUUGGGGAUGGACUCGCGGCUUAUCAGCUUGUUGGUGGGGUAGUGGCUUACCAAGGCUUUGACGGGUAGCCGGCCUGAGAGGGUGACCGGCCACAUUGGGACUGAGAUACGGCCCAGACUCCUACGGGAGGCAGCAGUGGGGAAUAUUGCACAAUGGGCGGAAGCCUGAUGCAGCAACGCCGCGUGCGGGAUGACGGCCUUCGGGUUGUAAACCGCUUUCGCCUGUGACGAAGCGUGAGUGACGGUAAUGGGUAAAGAAGCACCGGCUAACUACGUGCCAGCAGCCGCGGUGAUACGUAGGGUGCGAGCGUUGUCCGGAUUUAUUGGGCGUAAAGGGCUCGUAGGUGGUUGAUCGCGUCGGAAGUGUAAUCUUGGGGCUUAACCCUGAGCGUGCUUUCGAUACGGGUUGACUUGAGGAAGGUAGGGGAGAAUGGAAUUCCUGGUGGAGCGGUGGAAUGCGCAGAUAUCAGGAGGAACACCAGUGGCGAAGGCGGUUCUCUGGGCCUUUCCUGACGCUGAGGAGCGAAAGCGUGGGGAGCGAACAGGCUUAGAUACCCUGGUAGUCCACGCUGUAAACGGUGGGUACUAGGUGUGGGGUCCAUUCCACGGGUUCCGUGCCGUAGCUAACGCUUUAAGUACCCCGCCUGGGGAGUACGGCCGCAAGGCUAAAACUCAAAGGAAUUGACGGGGCCCCGCACAAGCGGCGGAGCAUGCGGAUUAAUUCGAUGCAACGCGUAGAACCUUACCUGGGUUUGACAUGGAUCGGGAGUGCUCAGAGAUGGGUGUGCCUCUUUGUGGGG
RNAcentral lists this ribosomal RNA (959 nucleotides) under Cutibacterium acnes. Its description in RNAcentral is "bacterial SSU rRNA". It matches the Rfam family "Bacterial small subunit ribosomal RNA", at positions 60 to 1026 of the family's 1533-position model. Lineage: Bacteria; Bacillati; Actinomycetota; Actinomycetes; Propionibacteriales; Propionibacteriaceae. The record is from RNAcentral.